Molecule: long non-coding RNA, 9905 nt
Filed under: Lactuca sativa (garden lettuce)
Lineage: Eukaryota; Viridiplantae; Streptophyta; Magnoliopsida; Asterales; Asteraceae
Description: long non-coding RNA (LSAT_LNC004381)
Source: RNAcentral
GGGCCCACAGAUAUCGCUUUUAUCCCGAAGGUAAAAGGAAUGGAUAAACUUCGACUCAUAUGGCUUGUUCUACUACUUGUUGAAUCAUACACAAAGGCACGUUUUAUAACAUCGAGUUACCGAAUGCGUUUUCAUGCAAUCAAUGUACAACCAACUCAUAGUAACAACUCAUAUCUCUAGGUUUGAAGAAUAUAAGAUAUUAUCGUCUCAUGAUCACUCGUGAUAAAAUCCAUGAAGUGAUUCAAAUGAGCGCGGGUUGAAUCCAAUACUCAGAACUUAUGAGCACUCAUGAGUGUUGUAGCACAACUUUGUCCACCAACUUGGACCUCUACAAGCCAACCCAUGACAGUCUUGAUUCAUAUCUACUUCCAACAUAUGACCGACUGUGGAUGGUUUGAAUAACUUAGUCAUUCCAGAAGAAUAACCUAGUUAUUAUGGAAGUCAAAACAUGCAAAGUGAAACACAAGAAUAAAUGAAUCAAAUAUGGUAUCAAACCCUAUGAAUAUAAAUAGACCACUUUUAUUUAUCACCAUACUGAUUACUCAUUAUUCAUUGUUUCAGUUUUAUCAACUUAUACUUGAAUUAAAAACACUAGGUGUCCCAUGCUCCAAGCAUGUACACUAUGUUUUCUAAACAAUAGUUUUGCCAUACACCAAGUAUGAAAUCUAUGUUUGUCUAUGACCCUUUUCUUUGUGAACUAGAUCAAUUGAACAUAAUUUCAAUGAUUCUCUUUUCACACUCCCAAAUCCUUGUCUUAAAUGUAAGAAUUCCAAAUUACUAUCAUUUAUCGAACUUUGUUUAGAUUUUAAACUAAUAUGCACUAUUCCUCUUGUAAUGAUUAUGGACAAAGCCACAAAGACUUGGCAACAAUCAUUACAGAGUAUUCCAAUGGAGAGCAAUUCCAUGGAAACGAUGUCUCAAAUUCAAAGCGCAUUGCUUUGAACAUGCUUCUUGCAUUAAGUUUCUUUAACCUUACACAGAUUGCUUCCACCUAUGAAGACAACUCUAUAUUCCCAUUUUGACUACCACUUCUGAACAAGAGUUGCCUCUUUUCAGACUAUGUCAAUAUGGUCCUUCCAAUAUUAACAGUAUACUUCCAACUGUCCUUGAGCAACCAAUCUUUGGUAAACCUUAGAUUGUCCUCGACAAUUGCUUAAUCACUUUAGUCAUAUCCAAUUCUAGACAUUUUCCUCCUUAAUGCCCCAAGGCAUUUGGAAAAUUCAUAAAGAAUAAAUAUUAUAGCACAUGUAAUCGAUCUUGUACCCAAAGUAAAUGGGACACGAUUCAUGAUGUUUCACAUAAAGACAUGGUUCUAGACCAGUCUUUUGCCAUAAUAAUUUUUUGUUUGCCAUAUUCUCAAAAUUUGACUAUGAAAAGGGAUGCCGUAAUCAUAAUCGAAUUUUGAGAACGCAAUAUAUAGAAUUUUCUUAAGUUGAACCAAUCCAACAUGAAAUUCAUAUAUAUAUUCUUGACUAAAGGUGAUUAAAAUCUCAAUAUAAGCUCUUUAGAAUGAUUAUAAACUCAAUCUAAGCUUUUUAGAAUUGAAAUGAAGUAUAAUUUCCUCUCCCUUAAUUAUAGCAAAACAACUUUUUCAACCCCUGCAACCUCACGAAUUGAAACUUUUGUUUUCUAUAAUUAACAUUGCUAACUUGCAAUACUUAUCAUAAUUAUCAUGCUCCCACUAACAUGAUGAUUAUUAGCAUCAUACUUAUGCUCCCACUAGCUUUGACAUGUACUCAGCAAUUAGCUAGACUUCUAGAAAUCAAUACUUUAUUGACUUUCUUACCAAAGUUUAGAAUUCUGAUAUGAGAUUGCUUUGAUAAGACAUUAUCAGACUCAUAUACUUUAUGUUAGAUAGUUUACAGGUGUGUCUAAACAAUUUCAGAACUAUGAAAAGGAAUCCCGUAAUCAUAGACUCAAUUGUUUAGACCUUUGCCAUCUGCUUCAAAUCUACUUGGUGGUAGUGUUUCUUCACCAUCAUUUUCAUGAAUCGGAGAGAAACCUUAUGACCCUUAGAUUUUAUGGUGUAUGUGUUCUUAUCUAUGUGAAUCUGUCAAAACCAUAAUCACAAGACAAGAUUAGUGACAAUUCCAAAUUCAUAUGGACUGAACUUGUGCAAUCUUAAAUUCAUGCCACCUGGCAGCUCAAGGGCCUUCCAUUGCUUCCAAGUUGAUAUGCAACUGGUUGAGAACUCUAAUAACUCAUAUGCAAAGCCAACUUUAACUGGAAUGAGCACAUAAAUAGAAAUAUGUCAUCACGAUAGGUUAUAAACCUCAAGUCGUGUGCUAGUUUUAUUCUUUAUUAGUUCUUGAGACUUUCAAGACCUUUAAGACUCCCACUUUCCUCUUGACAUAUAAGACUCUCUUGUCAAAUAUUCAAGGGAUAGUGCGGAUUCUUUAUCAAGACAAACACUUCACACAAUUGUCCUUAGUUGGUCUUUGUUUAAUCCAAAACAUCACAACUUACCAACUUCAAAUGUACAAGAGUAGGACACUUUUACUCUUACAUUUGACAAGUGUUUUAAACCUUUCUUUAAGAUAUGUCACUCAACUUACAUUCUUGGAGUAUGACUCUAAGACUUGUUUUGGAACGAAGUAUGACUCAUCUUCUUGAUUUGACCACUUCAACAAUUCAUAGCUCCUCUUCUUAGCUAUCAGAAUGAACUUAGAGGAUGAAUUAUGAUAAGGUCUCUUAAUCAUUAAGAUGAUCAUAUAACAUGAUACUAAAGUACUCUCCCAUCUAUUCAGAUUUGAGAAACUUUUAUCAUUCUGCCUAAUUUGAUUCUUCUCAUUCGUUCUGUCAUACAUUGAAAUUUUUCAAUGUUUCAGAAUUAUACUUAAGCUUGUAAGUAUAAUCAUAUUUACUAAACCUUAGUAAAUCAUGACGAAUAGUCUUAUCCAUCUUUUGUGGUGGACUUAAUCAUUGCAUGAUAUGGGCAUAUUUAGUUAUAAAAUUCAUGCAUUAUCUUAAUACUUUAUGUUGUUUUUGUCUCAUUUAAUGAACAAAAGGUACUUAAUUAGUUUAUAAUUUCAUUUUUCAGCAACAAUGACAUGCUUGGAUGGAAAAGGAAGCGGAACUAGCAAUUGGAAGCUUGGAUCUUGGAUUUUGAAGAAAGAAGGAUGUUGCUGGACAGCUUGACCCCUUGUCAGUGUUUUGGCCAUAUCUCAUGAACCGUAACUCCGAUUGAUGAGAUUCAAAAUGUUAUGAAAACUAGAUACAAUUUCAGACGACUUUCAUGUUUUGAGAAAAUGUUGAUUCCAAAUGGACUCGGCGAGUAGGCCAUCAACUCGGCGAGUUGGUCAGAAGUUUCACGAUUCUUGACUUUGCCUUGCCGUACACGGGAUUUUAAGUGAUGGACUCGCCGAGUAGGUCACUAGACUCACUGAGUAGCCCCUAUUUUCAUAAAAUAUAUAUAGAAACACUUCUCAUUCAAACCCUGAUGAAUGGGGGAAGUUUAGGACGAUUUUUGGAGGCCAGAAGGGUUCUUAGAAGUUGUGGUUUUCGAGAUUUCAACCUAGAUAUCAAAUUGGAAGAAGAUCAAAGGCAAUAACACACUACUGUUAUCUUAAUCUUUUGCAUAAACCAUGUUUCAAUCAUUAGAUUAUGUUUUUAGUUUGUUAUUUUCUGUAGAUAUGAGCUAAAAUCUCAUAACUUCUGUUUAGGAAAGAUGAAUUUGUGAUUAUGGUUUGAUUUAUGGUAGGAUUGAUUUAAUAUUGGUGAUUUUGUUGAUUCUAGCUUGUUAAAGAACCUUAUGUGUGAAUGAUAACUAUUUUUCUAUUAAUAGGAAGAUAAUUGAGUUGCAUGAACAUCUCUUAGUUGUUAACCUCAUAUGUUUAUGUGACCACUUUAUCAUAUGUCUAGGAUUAAUGAACAUGAAACUAGAAUUAAUAAGAAAAAUAGGUAAAUUCAUGUGUGAGCUUGUGUGAUGACCAUCAACAAGAGGUUAACUAAAGGACCAAAUUAGUUAACCAUUACAAGUCUAAAUUAACCCGAAUAAAUAACCUAGUGAAUUGAAUUAAAUUAGACAACUAGCCACUGUUUGAGUUAGUUUGUUCUCUAAGGAAUAGUGCAGCGAACGUGAAUCUAAUCACUUGAAUCGGUAGCCAAUAAAAGAAUUAAUACAUUGCACAAUUACCAUAAUAUCAACCAUAGGAUCAAUUGAGUUGAACUAAACAGAAGUUCCAUUCGUUAUUGAAUUUAGUUGAAUCUUUACUUAUCUAGUUUUUAGUUAAGUAGUCUAAGUAUUAGUUGGUAAGUUUCUAGUCUUGCAAAACUAGAGAAACCCCCUUUUAUUACUUGUUUUAUUAGAUAAUAUUAGCAUUUAUUUUAAUUGUUUAUCGUUCCCUGUGUUCAAUACCCUACUUGCUUGAACUAUAUUACUAAUCGAUAGGUACACUGCCUUUCGUGUGUUUAUUUUGUGUCUAAGUUAGUAGGAUUAAAACUAGUUCGUUUUACACACAUCAUUGCACAAGAAUGUGUACUCGAUCUCUUAGUCCUUUACUUGACUCACACAUCCAUGUGAACAAGUAAAUAGUCUUAAUUUUCCAAUGCUUGAAAGUUCUCAUUCAUCAUACUAUACAACUUGCAUGAUUCCAAGUUUCGGUCCAAUUGAGAACUUGGGUGAUGAGAAUCUUUCCUUAUUUGGUAAAUUUAGACACUACCACAAAUGAAAGAAUCAAUUUCGUAUUCCGAUGUUGCUAUCAAUGGGAUCAUAUAAAAAACAAUUUUCCACAAAUGUCACUCCUGGUAUCAACCGACCCAAGUUCCUCCGAUCGCUGCUAUCGAACCUCUAUAAAGUCCAACUCUUCUCUCCUAGAGUUUCGACAACUGAUUCAAGCCGGCCAUCGGCUUCUUUCUCUGAUAACAACUCUCAUUAACCAAUGAUCGCCCGAUGAUACUUCCAUUGCCCCAAAUCACAAUAAUUACUUGACCCUUACAAAGCUAAACAUCACCCUGGACCACCGGGUCCUGAUCUGGUACCAAGCUGCUAUCCCUUUCCUUGACUGGCAUAUCCUUUAUCGAAUUCACUUCUGGGACUCAUCCCACUUUCCUUUCCGAAACCAACUCGUUUCUUUCCGAGCUGACAGGAUGGCACAUCCUUCAGCUCCUGAGCAACUCCCAUGAGCUCUCCCUUGCAGACACAUACGCAUGCCAAACCUGCUCUAACAUCCUCAGGCUGGAAACCUGGCACACUGAUGAUACUUUCACAUAUCCCCAUGAAGAAUUACCGCUACAUACAUAACUUCCUGAUUACAACCAUACUGGAAAAUCCAAGGCUCCAUCCUUGCAUCCCUUCUGAACUCUUCUGAUUCUACACUACCGGAAAUCCUUCUGCAACCUCAACAGACACCCAACCCGGAUGUGUUCCCAUAUCACUCGUACCAUCCCAGUACUUACUACCAAUAGCUGAAGUACUGCCGAUAAUCCACUUACUCCAGUUCCUCCUCUAUUGGAGUACCCACGCUCCUUCCGAAACUACAUGCCUUUCUUUUCCAGGAAAUCCACUCAACAACCCUUACUGCACCUACACGUGCCACUGAGCUAAACUGCACUCUACAUUAUCCAUGUAGAGCAACUGCUAUUCUCGCAUUUCCAUAAACUCUGAUUCUGCUUGCAAGGACUCUCAGGUCCAUGCACUGCCUUUCACUAACAUGAUCAAUACUAGGGGCCAGACCAUAUCAAUUAUCAUCCCAUGGUGACGCCUUUUCUCACUCUCCUCGAACCAAUCCACUAACACAUAUAGAGUCUUCAGCAUGCCUGGACCGCCUUCCCAGGCCUUCAGCCUAUCUGGACCACUCUCGGAACCUUCAGCAUGUCUGGACCGCCCUCCUGGGCCUUCAGCCUGUCUGGACCGUUCCCCGAGCCUUCAGCCUGACUGGUAUGCCCACAAGCCUUCAGUCUGUCUGGACCGCUCGAACCUUAUGAUAUUUCAGGUAAAUAGGCAGCUUCAUAAUCAAUGCCCCUUCCUUUGGCAAGAGAAACAUAUGGACUCUUUGGGAAUGGUGUACUGGACUAUCACAGACUUGUCUUUCUCUUUACCAUUUGGUCAACCAAGUUGACUAUGGCCAAUCCCUUUCCAUUGGGAAGCAAAAGUUUUUCUGGAUAUCCAAUGUUACCAUUUUCAAAGCCCAUGGAAGUUUGGGAAGUUGAUCUUCUAAUCAAAUUUGCUUUACUAGUCAUCCAAAUCAUUGCUGAUUCAGUAGCACCAAGCAAAUAGAUAUUAUCAUUAAGGUUCAUGUCAUAGUCUGUUUCAUAGUAGUCCCAAAGGAACUCACUAUGUGACUUAGAAGUAAUUGAACAUCUAACUUUCUCAAGACUUUGACACCCAACUCUCCCGGCUUGUCAAUAUGUGACUUCAUCUCCAAGAUGUGAUCACACAUAAACCUUGCUUGCCAUUAGGGCUUGAGUGACCUUGAACUUGUGGGUUAGGGAGAAUAAUUGGAGGAGGUGGAGGAAGUGAAGUUCAAAGAGAUUUAGGGAGAUCAUAGAUGUCUGAACUAGACAUCUUUUGGGAGAUAUUCAAGUUUAGUUGAUUUAAAGUCCUUAAUAUAACACCCAAUAUGAAAUAUUAAGGCUAGGACCCAACACAAUACUUUUACAACUUGGAAGAGGGAUGCCGUAAUCCAGGCUAUAAAAUAUUUGAAGGUAGGUGAAUGACGAUUCACCAAUUUCCACCAUGAAAAACGAAAUAGUUUAUUAGGUUUUUAAUUGGAUUUGAAACUCAUAUAUCUUUUGAGAUUCAUUGAACUUUUCAAUGACAUGUUUCAAGCUUGAGUGUGCCCUUCAGGUUUUGUGACUGGGAUGCCAAGGAUCACAAAACAAGGUGUGAAGUCACCAUGCAAAUUACUUGGUACUCUUAAAUGUUUAUCACCCAACCGAUGUGCCGAUAAACCACACACGCUCCACCGGCCUAUGAUAAACUUUAAGAAAACCCUUUGCCGACCUUGUUAAAUCAAGAUAGUGUGCCGGUAAACCACACGCGCUCCACCAACCGACUUAAGCAAAGUGCAAAGUGUAAUUUCAUGGGUUAACACCUUAUUCACAUUUUCCUAAGUAACUAAGAUUGGGUAUUUAUAAAAGGUUUAGUUACUUAGUAUUUAUCAUUAAUACUUUUAAUGAAGGGAGAAUUUAUAGUCUUUGUCCUACCCGUUUGGCUAAUGACUCUCCACCAGUCAAGGAAGCGGUGGGUGAGAGUGGACACCCAUUAAACUGCCAUUUUAUAAGCAGUAACCUUAUACCCCCCUUAUAGACCGGCUUCGUGAAUGAGGCCUACUAACGGUAAGACUGACUUUACUCUUAUACAUACAUAUAAAUAUUAUUAACUUAUAAUAUUAUAAAGUAUAAGGGUUGAAUUUUAACUUUUAAAAAUCUAAGGGCUAAUUUGGAAUUAAAGUAUUCAUAAGUGAAAAACUUUUCAAAUUCCAAAACUUGAGGGCAAGUUUUAAACUAUUCAAAACUAAUUAAAUCCAUAACUUAUGUGUUUAAAGUAGUUUUAAUUAAAAAAACUCUUCAAGUUCCAUAACUUGAGGACAAGUUAUGGAAGACUUUAAACUAAUAAAAGAAUGUAAUUUUUUCUUUAUGUUGUAACUUAUGGAAUUAAUUAAGGUUACACAUUUUAUUACUUAAUGAAGUGACUCUUGAACCUCCAUAACUUGAGGACAAGUUAUGGAGUCAUAAAACCAUAUAAUGAGAACAAGACUCUUCAUUUUUGUAACCUUUGCAAACUUUUAUGAGUUUUAAGAAACUUUAAUCUGACUUUUCAUGUAACUUGAGGACAAGUUAUACAAACACAUUUUAGAAUCCACUCUUAGAUUAAAAUGGAUCAAAGACACAUAAUCAAUCAACCUUUUCUAUUAAUCUAAGCAACUCAUAUGAACAAGAUAAUUGGAAUCAAAUUUUUUCAAGUAAUUAGCAUAACUUUUAAACUAAUACAAAACAUGAAUCUAUUGACAAUUAAUUUUGAAAUUGGAUUAGCAUGAACACUACCACAUCAAAAACAAGUUUAUAAGUCCAAAAACAUCUAAGCGUAAUGUUCCUAGUCCAUUUCUAGCCAAAACAGUCGAAUAUAUGCUGUCUGGGAGUCCAACUCGUCGAGUACACAAACCAACUCGGCGAGUUGGAUGCUUUUUGCCUUGGACUUGGCGAGUCCAUCAGUGGAGUCGGCGAGUCUGCUAUGCAGAUAGCACCAAAAUUCGAUUUUUCAGCUAAUUUUGCAAGUAUAACAAGAAAACAAGUCUAGGCUCUAAUACCACUGUUGGGUUUUGAGCAUUCUAACACUCCUAUGGUGUACAUGCAACCCUAUAAACCUUGGAUCUAUGUUUUCUCUAUUAUACAUGCAAAUAAGAACUUUCCACGGCUUUAAUCCUAACUAGCAUAUUAUGAAGCUCUUAUACUACAAAGUACUAGUUAGAUGACAUCCCUUUUCAUGUAGCUUGAUGUCUUCAAGCUUUAAGAGCUUAGCCCCAAUAGUGUGGAAGCCUCAAGUGGAAUCACAAAUCACCAAAACACCUUGGAAGACUUUGAGAAUAAGAAUACUUUGGUUCUCUCUAGUGAAAUCGGCUAGCCCUCUUAGUGUACCCACACUAAUGCUAAUUUCACCAACCAAGGACAUCUUUAUAUAGUGUGGAGACUAGGGUUAAACCCAUGACCUUUCAUUUCAUAUGAUCCAUGGGUUAAACACUCCAUGGACUAUCCAUGAAAGCUUAGCCCAACCUAAAUGAACUUGGCCCAUUCCAUAUAUAUAAGAGUCCAUAUUUAAUUAGUUCAUUUUGAUCACUUAAUUAAUUCUAAAUUAAAUCUUGAUCAAUACUAAUUAAAUAAUAUGAUUCCAUAUUAAUAUAUUAGAACUUAUAAUAUAUUAAUAUAAAUCAUAAAUAUACUAUUCUCAAAAGACUAUCCAUAUAAAUUGUGUCGGUGAAGUGCAACCCAAAUGGACCAUGCCGGGUCGGGUCAAGUACAUACCAAAUAUAGUUAUGGACUUAGACAUUAAUCCAACAGUCUCCCACUUGGAUAAGUCUAAAACUAUUAUUGAGUAUGACUUCAAAACNNNNNNNNNNNNNNNNNNNNNNNNNNNNNNNNNNNNNNNNNNNNNNNNNNNNNNNNNNNNNNNNNNNNNNNNNNNNNNNNNNNNNNNNNNNNNNNNNNNNNNNNNNNNNNNNNNNNNNNNNNNNNNNNNNNNNNNNNNNNNNNNNNNNNNNNNNNNNNNNNNNNNUACUACUUGUUGAAUCAUACACAAAGGCACGUUUUAUAGCACCGAGUUACUGAAUGCGGUUUCGUGCAAUCAAUGUACAACCAACUCAUAGUAAUAACUCAUAUCUCUAGGUUUGAAGAAUAUAAGAUAUUAUCGUCUCAUGAUCACUCAUGAUAAAAUCCAUGAAGUGAUUCAAAUGAGCGCGGGUUGAAUCCAAUACUCAGAACUUAUGAGUACUCAUGAGUGUUGUAGCACAACUUUGUCCACCAACUUGGACCUCUACAACUUUAUCAUGCACUUCCUGAAGAUCCCUAGCCUAACACUAACAUGUUGUUCUAACAUAUCUCAUAACAAAUAACUUGUAUGGUAUUUUGGGGUUACUUACUGGCUCCGGCUGAUCGUACCUCCGCGUCCUCCUUUACUCAUUUUUGAAAACCAUUUUAAAUUCUCUUUUGAAAACUCUCCUUGAUUUGAGACUGGAUUCACACGAAUGUUCCUCCAAUUCACUCAAGCCAAGGCUCUAAUACCAACUUGUAACGCUCUAAAAAUUCCAACCAAUCUAAGCUUUUAAAAAACAACCCAAUUUCAUUAAGUUAUUACAAAAAGGGUUUCAAUACAUUUGUUAUCAGAGUAUUCCCAGAACCAUAUCAUAAAACAUAAACACGAGGAGCGGUACGAUCACGCCUUUGCCUUGCCAUGGUCUCCUGAAGUACCU